This 322-nucleotide ribosomal RNA is filed under the name uncultured bacterium. Its description in RNAcentral is "bacterial SSU rRNA". It matches the Rfam family "Bacterial small subunit ribosomal RNA", at positions 28 to 355 of the family's 1533-position model. The record is from RNAcentral.
GACGAACGCUGGCGGCGUGCUUAACACAUGCAAGUCGAGCGGUAAGGCCUUUCGGGGUACACGAGCGGCGAACGGGUGAGUAACACGUGGGUGACCUGCCUUUAGCUUCGGGAUAAGCCUGGGAAACCGGGUCUAAUACCGGAUAUGACCUCAUGUCGCAUGGUGUGGGGUGGAAAGUUCUUCGGCUAGAGAUGGGCCUGCGGGCCUAUCAGCUUGUUGGUGGGGUGAUGGCCUACCAAGGCGACGACGGUAGCCGGCCUGAGAGGGCGACCGGCCACACUGGGACUGAGAUACGGCCCAGACUCCUACGGGAGGCAGCAGU